AGCGGCCCCAGCAGCCUGGGGAGGAAGCUGGGAUCUCCUUGGGGUGGCCCAGGAAAGGGGGUCCCAGCCGCUGCCCCCUUCCCGCAAACAGAAAGCCCGGAGGUGGGAGGGGGACAAUUAAGGGAGGAGCCCCCCUCCCCCAGUGGAGGGUUCUGCGUGUGUGAGAGAUCGCCGAAAUUCCCACCACCCCAGCAGAGGGUCUCUUCUGUCACGCUCAUCCCAGAGACUGGAAUCCUGCCUGGGCUCAAGCCUCCCUGCUCGUGGCUGCGGACAAGUAGCGGGCCAGGGAGAAAGAAGGUCCCAGCCCACCUGAAGAAAUCCUGGACAGUUGGAAUUUAGCCCUGAUGGAGAUCAGAUGAGGUGUCCUCCUUGGAGCUGAUCUGCUAAUAGUUGCAAAGCCAGAAGUGCCGAAUCCUGAAGGCUCAGCUACAUAAGCCAGUAGCCUCCAAAUACCAGAGAGAAAGUAAUACGACCUACCAGCGGAUGGAGAAAGGAAGCAAACAAACUUUGUUAAGCUGCUCCAAGGAGGAGGGGCAAGUUGGCUGAGAACGCAGCUCGAGGGAGCUAGGUGGACUACAAGGGAUGCAAAAGAUACAGAUACCCAGGCAGGGUCUGAGCACAGUGCGUUCAUAUCCGGGGAUUAAAGGCUGAGUUUCUCCUGGACAUGUGACCUUCCUGGUGAGUCCCUAUCAUUAUAUGUAUUGUCUUCUGGCUAUUAGUAGUCAGUCUUAUGACCAGUAAACAUCUGCUGCAUCCUUCAGUGUCUCUUUUAUAGUCUUCUUUUAUCUUGUGCUGUUUUCUCCUAGAAUAUUGUACACCUGCUGAAAUACAUCUGUCAUAUCAUUGUCUGGAAAUAUCUCCUUCAAGUUUUUCUUAGUAAACUUCUAUCCCGGGGUACUUCUACACUGCAUGCUUAUUCAAAAUAAGAUAUUCUGGAAUAG
Non-coding RNA from Pelodiscus sinensis (Chinese soft-shelled turtle), 941 nucleotides. Lineage: Eukaryota; Metazoa; Chordata; Testudines; Trionychidae. The record is from RefSeq and is a predicted model, not a curated record.